UUAAACAAAAUGUCCCUUUAAAUGCACCUUUUCAUCAAUACAAAGUUCAUCGUAUAUAUAUCUGGCUCGUGGUGGUGAUCUGAGCUAUUCGGCUUGCAAAUCUGUUCAAGUGAAGAACCUGCUCUUUUAAAUACUAUUUAUUGCGCAACGAUGUUUCUACAAAUUGUCUUCGUAGCAGUCGUGGCCUGUUGUCUUGUUAAGUGUCAGAUCGAAACAGACAAUUGUGAUGGAUACAGUGCUGCCAUUUCUGCAUGUAAUACAAACAAUGGUCUGGCUACAGAUGCGUUGUCUUUUACUGGAAUACCUUCAUUAGCUUCGGGCGAUAUAUCUGCUACAUGUGGAGAUUUGGAUGACAUAUUAAAAGCAGUGAAAUGCGUAGCGGAUACACACAUAGCUUGUGGAACAACUGAAACCAAACAAUUGGUAGCCUCUUCAGAACAAUAUACAGAAGUUCUAAAUACUAUGUGUUCUCGUAAAAGCGAGUAUGAUGGAACAUGUGUUAAUUAUGGCGUCAUAGCUAAUUGCGCAGCGACCAAACAGACUGAAAAUAACCUUACAAUAAGCAGCAGUUCUACCUUCGCCGAGUUAACCACUUACUUCUGCAAAUUCAACGAGUACUAUUCGUCUUGUGCAAGCGCAGAUACACAACUAGGAUCGUGCACUAAAACCAAGACCAAAGAAAUAUACUUAUCACUUGUAGCUGAACUCAGACCUGGCAUAUGUGGAGCUUCAUCCAUAGUUUCUUCAGUUCUUUUACUGGUUGUUUCUCUUCUUGCCGCUUUCUUUAAUUAAAUCUGAUUAACUAGAGCUACGGCGAUCUUAUCUGCUGGUUAUUUGCCGUCCUCUCACAUUCUCUGCUGAGAUGUAAUUGUAAAAAAAACAAGCUCUUCUAUCGUGUUUUCUGUAGGUUUUUUUUAUGAUAUCCCCAUGCACUUGACUACAUAUUACGCCAAAGCUGCUUUAUCGGCAAUCAAUUCGAUAUGAUGAUUGUUCAGAAUCCAUGAAGAUUUUAAAUUUGAUUUUAAGUUCUGAACUGAUGGCAGUUUAACGUUGUUUGUGUUAUGUUCCCAUGAGUUGAUAUGUGUUCCGUGUUUUUAAGCUUAUUUUUCAUCUGUAAAGGAGUAUAAAGCUAAACUUAAUUAUGUUGUUUUACUUCGUUAUUAAACUUGGUUUCGCUACAAAGACACAGGCUUCCCAUUUAAAGGAAAGGUUGUACAAUUAAAUAAAUAAUGAUGAUUUCUCAAAUUCCAUACUCACGAACUGAUUUAAGUUUUUUUUUUAAAUUUGAAAAUUCUUACGAAGUUUAAUGUAAUAGACACAUUGACAGAAGUAUGUCCUUUUAUUCUUCGUAUUCUGAAACAAUGUGUGAAUAUUUGCGUUUUAUUGUCCACAACCAAAAUAAUUUGGUAUUCUGCUUGCAGAUGAUGCGAAAAAAACUCUACAAAAGAAUAUAUAAGAUAUGGAACACACAAAUUGUUCUUUAUUAGUGUUUGAAUGUCUAUAAUUAUAAAUAUAUGUGUAGUGACGUUGUCUAUAUAAGUAUUAUAUUAUUAUCUAUUAACAGAUUCUAUAUAACAUCUACAUAUAAGUAUUUGUCUAUAUAUCAGUAUUAUGUAAUCUAUUAACAGGUUCUAUAUAAAAUCGAGCCUAAAUUGGGUACGAAAUAUACUCGAUUCCUUUAUUCUCAGAAAAGUUUAAUAUAU
Patella vulgata (common limpet) is the source of this 1703-nucleotide long non-coding RNA. RefSeq lists it as uncharacterized. The record is from RefSeq and is a predicted model, not a curated record. Lineage: Eukaryota; Metazoa; Mollusca; Gastropoda; Patellidae. The transcript is spliced from 5 exons.